This 662-nucleotide ribosomal RNA is filed under the name Streptococcus anginosus. Its description in RNAcentral is "bacterial SSU rRNA". It matches the Rfam family "Bacterial small subunit ribosomal RNA", at positions 371 to 1023 of the family's 1533-position model. Lineage: Bacteria; Bacillati; Bacillota; Bacilli; Lactobacillales; Streptococcaceae. The record is from RNAcentral.
AUGGGGGGAACCCUGACCGAGCAACGCCGCGUGAGUGAAGAAGGUUUUCGGAUCGUAAAGCUCUGUUGUUAAGGAAGAACGAGUGUGAGAAUGGAAAGUUCAUACUGUGACGGUACUUAACCAGAAAGGGACGGCUAACUACGUGCCAGCAGCCGCGGUAAUACGUAGGUCCCGAGCGUUGUCCGGAUUUAUUGGGCGUAAAGCGAGCGCAGGCGGUUAGAAAAGUCUGAAGUGAAAGGCAGUGGCUCAACCAUUGUAGGCUUUGGAAACUGUUUAACCUGAGUGCAGAAGGGGAGAGUGGAAUUCCAUGUGUAGCGGUGAAAUGCGUAGAUAUAUGGAGGAACACCGGUGGCGAAAGCGGCUCUCUGGUCUGUAACUGACGCUGAGGCUCGAAAGCGUGGGGAGCGAACAGGAUUAGAUACCCUGGUAGUCCACGCCGUAAACGAUGAGUGCUAGGUGUUAGGUCCUUUCCGGGACUUAGUGCCGCAGCUAACGCAUUAAGCACUCCGCCUGGGGAGUACGACCGCAAGGUUGAAACUCAAAGGAAUUGACGGGGGCCCGCACAAGCGGUGGAGCAUGUGGUUUAAUUCGAAGCAACGCGAAGAACCUUACCAGGUCUUGACAUCCCGAUGCUAUUUCUAGAGAUAGGAAGUUUCUUCGGA